Molecule: ribosomal RNA, 451 nt
Filed under: uncultured bacterium
Lineage: Bacteria
Description: partial 16S ribosomal RNA
Rfam family: Bacterial small subunit ribosomal RNA
Source: RNAcentral
AACGAACGCUGGCGGCAGGCUUAACACAUGCAAGUCGAACGGUUGUAGCAAUACAGCAGUGGCAGACGGGUGAGUAACACGUGGGAACCUUCCUAGGGGUACGGGACAACUCAGGGAAACUUGAGCUAAUACCGUAUACGUCCGUGAGGAGAAAGAUUUAUCGCCCUUAGACGGGCCCGCGUCGGAUUAGCUAGUUGGUGGGGUAACGGCCUACCAAGGCGACGAUCCGUAGCUGAUCUUAGAGGAUGAUCAGCCACACUGGGACUGAGACACGGCCCAGACUCCUACGGGAGGCAGCAGUGGGGAAUCUUGGACAAUGAGCGCAAGCCUGAUCCAGCCAUGCCGCGUGAGUGAAGAAGGUCUUCGGAUUGUAAAGCUCUUUUGCCAGGGACGAUAAUGACGGUACCUGGAGAAUAAGCCCCGGCAAACUUCGUGCCAGCCGCCGCAGUAA